Molecule: ribosomal RNA, 434 nt
Filed under: uncultured bacterium
Lineage: Bacteria
Description: partial 16S ribosomal RNA
Rfam family: Bacterial small subunit ribosomal RNA
Source: RNAcentral
AUCGAACGCUGGCGGCAGGCCUAACACAUGCAAGUCGAACGAACCUUUCGGGGUUAGUGGCGGACGGGUGAGUAACACGUGGGAACGUGCCUUUAGGUUCGGAAUAACUCAGGGAAACUUGUUCUAAUACCGAAUGUGCCCUUCGGGGGGAAGAUUUAUCGCCUUUAGAGCGGCCCGCGUCUGAUUAGCUAGUUGGUUGAGGUAAUGGCUCACCAAGGCGACGAUCAGUAGCUGGUCUGAGAGGAUGAUCAGCCACAUUGGGACUGAGACACGGCCCAAAAUCCUACGGGAGGCAGCAGUGGGGAAUCUUGCGAAAUGGGCGAAAGCCUGACGCAGCCAUGCUGCGUGAAUGAUGAAGGUCUUAGGAUUGUAAAAUUCUUUCACCGGGGACGAUAAUGACGGUACCCGGAGAAGAAGCCCCGGCUAACUUCGUG